RNAcentral lists this ribosomal RNA (395 nucleotides) under bacterium gwi63. Its description in RNAcentral is "bacterial SSU rRNA". It matches the Rfam family "Bacterial small subunit ribosomal RNA", at positions 97 to 506 of the family's 1533-position model. The record is from RNAcentral.
GGCGAACGGGUGAGUAACACGUGGGUGAUCUGCCUUGCACUCUGGGAUAAGCCUGGGAAACUGGGUCUAAUACCGGAUAUGACCUUCGGUUGCAUGACCGGGGGUGGAAAGAUUUAUCGGUGCAAGAUGAGCCCGCGGCCUAUCAGCUUGUUGGUGGGGUAAUGGCCUACCAAGGCGACGACGGGUAGCCGGCCUGAGAGGGCGACCGGCCACACUGGGACUGAGACACGGCCCAGACUCCUACGGGAGGCAGCAGUGGGGAAUAUUGCACAAUGGGCGGAAGCCUGAUGCAGCGACGCCGCGUGAGGGAUGACGGCCUUCGGGUUGUAAACCUCUUUCGACUCCGACGAAGCGAGAGUGACGGUAGGAGUAUAAGAAGCACCGGCCAAGUACGU